RNAcentral lists this long non-coding RNA (1939 nucleotides) under Oryctolagus cuniculus (rabbit). RNAcentral's name for it is "lncRNA (ENSOCUG00000036897.1)". Lineage: Eukaryota; Metazoa; Chordata; Mammalia; Lagomorpha; Leporidae. The record is from RNAcentral.
CCCAGGCACGGUCCCUCACUUCUGUGUCCACCAGGAAGGCCACGUUGUAAUCCCGUCUGCCCCACGCGGGACCUGACGAGGCGCUGGGCGAGAUGCUCACCCAGCCGCACCGAUGGCCUGGCCACCCCGGGGGCUGCCCUGCUGUGUCCCACCCGACCCGAGGAUGGGCCCCUUGUUUGCUGCUGGGGAGGCCCAGGUGUAUCUGCCAAGAUUGCUUCUGGGCUGGGCCCCGGCCACACGCAGGAGGCUGAGUGUCAGCCAGUGGCCCCUACGGUGGCUGAGCCGACGAGUAAGGGCCCCGGCUCACACCCGCAGCUUAGGCUUACCCGUGUACAAGGCCAGGCCUGGCCACUCCUGCCUGCACAGCCCACACAGCGGUCACACGGCAGCCCGCACCUGCACAGAACGAGGGCCAGUUUCACUGCUCGGCACCCGGGGGUGGGGGUGGGCACUGCCCUGUAUCCACAGCUAGCAGGAGAGGGAGCAGAGACACGAGAAGCAGGUGGGUCUCAGCCAGGUGUGCCUGGCCUCCCUGCACUGUGGUCCCACCAGGUGCGUGGCAGGGCCCGGUGGGGAGAGCUGGGUUCCGGGCAGGCACUGGUGCUGUCCUCCAAAGAACCAGUAGAGGGCACCCUUCAGCCGCGAUGCUUGCAGAGGGCUUGGCGUUGGUCCUGGGUUGGAGGCAGAAGCAGGGAGCAGUGCCGGGUGGGGUGUGGCGCUGGAUGCGGGGUCUCGGGCCUCAGGAGAAGCAGCCGCUGGUGUGGAAACGUGCUGGGACCCCUCACCCCCGCCUUUGUGAGCUUUGGCUUCCGUCGCCGGCAGCAGCCACGACCAGGCCCCCGUCCUGAGCGACAAGCACCUGGACGUGCCCGACAUCAUCAUCACGCCCCCCACCCCCACGGGCGUGCUGCUGCCCCGGGACUCGAGGCCGACAGGUGAGGCUGGGCUGGGGCCGCGGCAGGGCCGAUGAAUGUGUGCUGGGACCCGGCCACCCCUGGCCAUGGCCCCAGCCCCAGCAGGACGCAGCCUGCAGAGCGAUGGGCUGGACGAGGCCUGCUGGCAGCCGGGAUGAUGGAUGGACAGGGCCGGCCAGGCUCCCUGAUGGAUGCGCUGUCUCCUGCCAACAGGACGGCGCUGCCUGCCGUUGGCGGCAGCCACUGCUGGCCGCACAGCGCGACUUGGAAUCAGCCUGCGCCCAGGCUGGGGCUGGGCCCUGGGCCUGCUAGAGGGAGGGAGACGGCUCCCCGCAGCGGGAGGGAGAGAGGGAGGCCCGGGCGGGCGCGUGUUGGGGCUCAUCCCCGACAGAUUCACCGGGCUAAGGGCGGUGGGCUGCUCCUCCCACCGAGCGCUCCCGGGGACUCUGAGGCAGGUGGGGUCUUCAUCCCCAUUUCCUAGGUGGAUAAACUGAGGCUCAGGGAGAUCCCUGCCACACAGCUGGUAGGUGGUGGAGCUGCGAUUCAGGGCUGGCCUCUGUGGUCUGGGGCUUGAGCUGGGGACCCGGAGCCCUGGCGGGAGCCACUCCCAGCCCCCGACACACAGGCCUUGCUGGGCACCUGCUGAUACAAAGUGUGUGGCGGGCACCGCGGGGGGCGGUGCUUGGGUAGAAUGUCCUGGAUGAGCCGAAUCUACAUCCCAGCCUGCCCUCCAGAGCCAGUGGUACGCUCCGUGGUCCGGGAGCCGUGGGUCGUGUUCUCCAUGGCUUCCCCCAUACCUGGCACCGAGCCUCCCCGGGAGCUGGGCUGAUUGUUCCAGCCAAGUAGGCUGAGUGGCGUCCACCUCUGGCUGGGCACGGGGAAGGGCCAGGUCCAGAGACAGACAGGGACCCCCUAAGGGCACACAGCCGGGGAGGGGACGGGGGGGGGGGCAGGGCUAUCCCCCCCCCGCAGCGCCCCCCCCAUCCCCCAGCUGGUGUCUGAGCUGGGGGUGGGGCCUGCUCUGC